This is a long non-coding RNA of Etheostoma spectabile (orangethroat darter), 152 nucleotides long. RefSeq lists it as uncharacterized. The transcript is spliced from 3 exons. The record is from RefSeq and is a predicted model, not a curated record. Lineage: Eukaryota; Metazoa; Chordata; Actinopteri; Perciformes; Percidae.
AGUUGCUGAGUUUAGACCAGGUUUUUGUUGGUCAGUGGCCUGAUUCCUUCCCACUGCCUCAAGAUGGCAAUACGCCAAGAAUGCACCUGAACACCCCUCCCUGUGAGAACAGCACACCCAUGGGUGCAAAGAUGAGCACAGGUGCAUUUGCU